CCCUUAGAUGUUCUGGGCUGCACGCGCGCCACACUGAUGCGCUCAACGAGUUUUAACCUUGCCUGGAAAGGUUGGGUAAUCUUUUUAAAACGCAUCGUGAUGGGGAUAGAUUAUUGCAAUUAUUAAUCUUCAACGAGGAAUUCCUAGUAAGCGCGAGUCAUCAGCUCGUGCUGAUUACGUCCCUGCCCUUUGUACACACCGCCCGUCGCUCCUACCGAUUGAGUGGUCCGGUGAGGCUUUGGGAUCUGAGCGGAAAGAGCGUUUCGCUGUUUCUGCUCGGAAAACUCAGUCGAACCUUAUCAUUUAGAGGAAGGAGAAGUCGUAACA
Molecule: ribosomal RNA, 327 nt
Filed under: uncultured eukaryote
Lineage: Eukaryota
Description: partial 18S ribosomal RNA
Rfam family: Eukaryotic small subunit ribosomal RNA
Source: RNAcentral